Molecule: ribosomal RNA, 887 nt
Filed under: Clausilia cruciata cruciata
Lineage: Eukaryota; Metazoa; Mollusca; Gastropoda; Stylommatophora; Clausiliidae
Description: partial large subunit ribosomal RNA
Rfam family: Archaeal large subunit ribosomal RNA (bases 364-618)
Source: RNAcentral
UUAAACUAUAAAAAAAAUUGAAUUUUUUUUCCCGAAGCAAGAAGAGCUAACUAAGCGUAUAUGUUAUUCUUUUAGGGUAUUAAGUGUAAUGUAGCAGAAUUACUCUUUAAAUUUUAGUUAGGGGUGAAAGGCCUUUCAAUUUUUGUUUAUAUCUGGAUCAAGCUAAAAAAUAUUUAGUAUUUAUGUCAGGCUUGAAAAUCUAAGCUUUCUAGCAGGCAAAAGUUUGUAGGAAAAAAGUAUCAUUUUAUUAAUAUAAAGGUGAGUCUCCGAGCUAGAAAUGAAUUUACUAUUUUCUUUGUCUAGUUAAGCUUAUUAGUGCUUGCUAAUAAAAUUGCCAACCCUAAAUAAUGUUUAAAUGAGUAUUUGAUAAUAAAAAGACGUAAGGAACUCGGCAAAAUUAAUUCUCUCAACUGUUUACCAAAAACAUAGCCAGUUGCUCUUCAUGAUUGGUCAGCUCUGCCCAGUGAACAUUCUUUUUUAACGGCCGCAGUACACUGACUGUGCAAAGGUAGCAUAAUCAAUUGGCUUUUAAAUGAAGUCGGGAAUGAAAGAGUCAAUGGGGGGAUACUGUCUUAUUUUCUUUUUUUAAGAAUUUACCAAGCAAGUGCAAACGCUUGCCGGUGAGCCUAAAAGACGAGAAGACCCUAUAAAUUUUUACUAAAAGUUUUUAUCUUUGACGAAGGUUUUUGUUGGGGCAACAAGUUAACAUAAAAUUGAAAGAAUUUAACUACUAAAAUUAAGCAGAUUCAGCGAGUUUUACUAGAAAUAUAUAAAUUACUAUAGGGAUAACAGCAUAAUUUUACUUUAAGAUUGUGACCUCGAUGUUGGAUUAGGGACUUACUAAAUAAACCAUUUAAGUAAGAAGUUCUGUUCGAACCUAAACACCU